AACGAACGCUGGCGGCAUGCUUAACACAUGCGAGUCGAACGAAGUAGUUUACUACUUAGUGGCAGACGGGUGAGUAACGCGUGGGAGCAUACCUUUUGGUUCGGAAUAACUACGGGAAACUGUAGCUAAUACCGGAUAAGCCCUUAGGGGGAAAGAUUUAUUGCCGAAAGAGUGGCCCGCGUUAGAUUAGGUAGUUGGUGGGGUAAAGGCCUACCAAGCCUGUGAUCUAUAGCUGGUCUGAGAGGAUGACCAGCCACACUGGGACUGAGACACGGCCCAGACUCCUACGGGAGGCAGCAGUGGGGAAUAUUGGACAAUGGGGGCAACCCUGAUCCAGCAAUGCCGCGUGAGUGAAGAAGGCCUUCGGGUUGUAAAGCUCUUUUGGCAGGGACGAUAAUGACGGUACCUGCAGAAUAAGCCCCGGCAAACUUCGUGCCAGCCGCCGCGGUAA
RNAcentral lists this ribosomal RNA (451 nucleotides) under uncultured bacterium. Its description in RNAcentral is "partial 16S ribosomal RNA". It matches the Rfam family "Bacterial small subunit ribosomal RNA", at positions 29 to 523 of the family's 1533-position model. The record is from RNAcentral.